This 507-nucleotide ribosomal RNA is filed under the name uncultured bacterium. RNAcentral's name for it is "partial 16S ribosomal RNA". The record is from RNAcentral.
GGAGUUAGCCGGUGCUUCUUCUGUGAGUGAUGUCCUUCCUGCCGGUUAUUGACCCGCAGGCCUUCUUCCUCACUGAAAGUGCUUUACAACCCGAAGGCCUUCUUCACACACGCGGCAUGGCUGGAUCAGGGUUGCCCCCAUUGUCCAAUAUUCCCCACUGCUGCCUCCCGUAGGAGUCUGGGCCGUGUCUCAGUCCCAGUGUGGCUGAUCAUCCUCUCAGACCAGCUACGGAUCGUCGCCUUGGUGAGCAGUUACCUCACCAACCAGCUAAUCCGACAUAGGCUCAUCCGAUAGCGCGAGGCCCGAAGGUCCCCCGCUUUCCCCCGUAGGGCGUAUGCGGUAUUAGCCUGGGUUUCCCCAGGUUAUCCCCCACUACCGGGCAGAUUCCUAUGCAUUACUCACCCGUCCGCCGCUCGCCACCAGGGAGCAAGCUCCCCGUGCUGCCGCUCGACUUGCAUGUGUUAGGCCUGCCGCCAGCGUUCAAUCUGAGCCAGAAUCAAACUCUGA